GACGAACGCUGGCGGCAUGCCUAACACAUGCAAGUCGAACGAUCCCUUCGGGGAUAGUGGCGCACGGGUGCGUAACGCGUGGGAACCUGCCCUUAGGUUCGGAAUAACUCAGAGAAAUUUGAGCUAAUACCGGAUAAUGUCUUCGGACCAAAGAUUUAUCGCCUUUGGAUGGGCCCGCGUUGGAUUAGCUAGUUGGUGGGGUAAAGGCCUACCAAGGCGACGAUCCAUAGCUGGUCUGAGAGGAUGAUCAGCCACACUGGGACUGAGACACGGCCCAGACUCCUACGGGAGGCAGCAGUGGGGAAUAUUGGACAAUGGGCGAAAGCCUGAUCCAGCAAUGCCGCGUGAGUGAUGAAGGCCUUAGGGUUGUAAAGCUCUUUUACCCGGGAUGAUAAUGACAGUACCGGGAGAAUAAGCCCCGGCUAACUCCGUG
This 433-nucleotide ribosomal RNA is filed under the name uncultured bacterium. RNAcentral describes it as "partial 16S ribosomal RNA". It matches the Rfam family "Bacterial small subunit ribosomal RNA", at positions 28 to 507 of the family's 1533-position model. The record is from RNAcentral.